This 253-nucleotide ribosomal RNA is filed under the name uncultured bacterium. Its description in RNAcentral is "partial 16S ribosomal RNA". It matches the Rfam family "Bacterial small subunit ribosomal RNA", at positions 524 to 776 of the family's 1533-position model. The record is from RNAcentral.
UACGGAGGAUGCAAGCGUUAUCCGGAAUUAUUGGGCGUAAAGCGUCUGUAGGUUGUGUAGUAAGUCUAUUGUUAAAUCUUAAGGCUCAACCUUAAAUCAGCGGUAGAAACUACUAUACUAGAGUAUAGUAAGGGUAAAAGGAAUUUUCAAUGUAGCGGUGAAAUGUGUAGAUAUUGAGAAGAACACCAGUGGCGAAAGCGCUUUACUAGACUAUUACUGACACUCAUAGACGAAAGCUAAGGGAGCGAAUGGG